UACUCCUACGGGAGGCAGCAGUGGGGAAUAUUGGCCAAGGGGGGAAACUUGAUCCCACCAUGCCGCGUGUUGAAGAAGGCCUUAUGGUUGUAAACACUUUAAGCGAGGAGGAGCUCCUGUAGUUAAACCUACAGAGAGUGACGUACUGCAAAGCCCCCC
Molecule: ribosomal RNA, 159 nt
Filed under: uncultured bacterium
Lineage: Bacteria
Description: partial 16S ribosomal RNA
Source: RNAcentral